Molecule: ribosomal RNA, 460 nt
Filed under: uncultured bacterium
Lineage: Bacteria
Description: partial 16S ribosomal RNA
Rfam family: Bacterial small subunit ribosomal RNA
Source: RNAcentral
CCUACGGGAGGCAGCAGUGAGGAAUAUUGGUCAAUGGGCGCGAGCCUGAACCAGCCAAGUAGCGUGAAGGAUGACGGUCCUAUGGAUUGUAAACCUCUUUUGUCGGGGAGCAAGGCUCGCCACGUGUGGCGGGAAGGAGAGUACCCGAAGAAAAAGCAUAGGCUAACUCCGUGCCAGCAGCCGCGGUAAUACGGAGGAUGCGAGCGUUAUCCGGAUUUAUUGGGUUAAAAGGGUGCGUAGGCGGAAUGUUAAGUCAGCGGUCAAAUGUCGGUGCUCAACACCGGCCUGCCGUUGAAACUGGUCGUCUUGAGUGAGCGAGAAGUAGGCGGAAUGCGUGGUGUAGCGGUGAAAUGCAUAGAUAUCACGCAGAACUCCGAUUGCGAAGGCAGCAUACCGGCGCUCAACUGACGCUGAGGCACGAAAGCGUGGGGAUCGAACAGGAUUAGAUACCCUGGUAGUC